UACAGAGGUCUCAAGCGUUGUUCGGAUUCAUUGGGCGUAAAGGGUGCGUAGGUGGCGCGCUAAGUCAGGUGUGAAAUUUCGGAGCUUAACUCCGAAACUGCAUUUGAUACUGGCGUGCUUGAGGACUGGAGAGGAGACUGGAAUUCAUGGUGUAGCAGUGAAAUGCGUAGAUAUCGAGAGGAACACCAGUGGCGAAGGCGAGUCCCUGGACAACACCUGACACUGAGGCACGAAAGCUAGGGGAGCAAACAGG
This 253-nucleotide ribosomal RNA is filed under the name uncultured bacterium. RNAcentral describes it as "partial 16S ribosomal RNA". It matches the Rfam family "Bacterial small subunit ribosomal RNA", at positions 524 to 776 of the family's 1533-position model. The record is from RNAcentral.